Molecule: ribosomal RNA, 436 nt
Filed under: uncultured bacterium
Lineage: Bacteria
Description: bacterial SSU rRNA
Rfam family: Bacterial small subunit ribosomal RNA
Source: RNAcentral
GAUGAACGCUGGCGGCGUGCUUAACACAUGCAAGUCGAGCGAUGAAGUUUCCUUCGGGAAACGGAUUAGCGGCGGACGGGUGAGUAACACGUGGGUAACCUGCCUCAUAGAGUGGAAUAGCCUUCCGAAAGGAAGAUUAAUACCGCAUAAUGUUGAAAGAUGGCAUCAUCAUUCAACCAAAGGAGCAAUCCGCUAUGAGAUGGACCCGCGGCGCAUUAGCUAGUUGGUGGGGUAACGGCCUACCAAGGCGACGAUGCGUAGCCGACCUGAGAGGGUGAUCGGCCACAUUGGGACUGAGACACGGCCCAGACUCCUACGGGAGGCAGCAGUGGGGAAUAUUGCACAAUGGGGGAAACCCUGAUGCAGCAACGCCGCGUGAGUGAUGAAGGUUUUCGGAUCGUAAAGCUCUGUCUUUGGGGAAGAUAAUGACGKWCCC